This 440-nucleotide ribosomal RNA is filed under the name uncultured bacterium. RNAcentral's name for it is "partial 16S ribosomal RNA". It matches the Rfam family "Bacterial small subunit ribosomal RNA", at positions 338 to 795 of the family's 1533-position model. The record is from RNAcentral.
CCUACGGGAGGCAGCAGUGGGGAAUAUUGCACAAUGGGGGGAACCCUGAUGCAGCGACGCCGCGUGGGUGAAGAAGCGCCUCGGCGCGUAAAGCCCUGUCAGCAGGGAAGAAAAUGACGGUACCUGAAGAAGAAGCCCCGGGUAACUACGUGCCAGCAGCCGCGGGAAUACGUCGGGGGCAAGCGUUAUCCGGAUUUACUGGGUGUAAAGGGGGCGCAGACGGCGAGGCAAGCCAGGAGUGAAAGCCCGGGGCCCAACCCCGGGACUGCUGUUGGAACUGCGUGGCUGGAGUGCAGGAGGGGCAGGCGGAAUUCGUGGUGUAGCGGUGAAAUGCGUAGAUAUCAGGAGGAACACCGGUGGCGAAGGCGGCCUGCUGGCCUGCAACUGACGUUGAGGCACGAAAGCGUGGGGAGCAAACAGGAUUAGAUACCCGGGUAGUC